AAUAAACAUUUCCAAAGGGAGGAAUGUUGACCACUCUGUGGCAGAGGUGUUAACUGUGUGGAUGCUGGAGGCAGAUGACCUCAUUUCAACCCUGGCGCUUCCGUUUCCUGGCUGUGCAGUCUUGGCUAAGUUCCUUGCUGAUGCUGAACUUCCGUUUCUUCAUCUGUGAAGUGAGGACAAUAACAUUUUUCUCCUAUGGUUAUUGGGGGGAGUAAAUGAGGCGAUGCCUGUGGAGUACUCAGCAUAGUGCCUGACACAUGCUAGAUGGUCAAGAAAUAAUCGCAACUGGUCCCUUCAUGAAGUUUACAGUCAGGUGGAUCAUCUCCCAGCCACCAGCUCUCUCUCUAAAAUUCCAAAGUGGAGUCAGGGUCCCAGAAAGGCUGAUUAUUUAAGUCCAGAAUCUGCAACUCAGGUUUUCCUUCCCCGCUGUCGUCUCUAGAGAACAUGUGUGCUGUAGGGUUCCAUCUGCUUCUGUAAUAAAACAUAAAUUAUUAAAACCAUAAAAUAUUGAUGAACUGUUUUAUAAAACAGAGGGACUUUAACGUAUUGAUUAUGAAUUGAGAAAGCCUUAAUGAUCUUCAGGAGGAGAAAUAAUUGGGCAAUGAUGGUGGGUUGAUUUCCUUCCGUGCCCCUGAAUAACAAGCAAUUAGGAGAAUAAGCUCCCGCUGUCCCAUUUUGCAUCACUGUCAUCUUGCUUUCUUGCCGCUGCACCUUUAAAAGCUACCUUCCAUGAUCAUUACAUGCCACCCAAAGAGAGAGGAGGGGAAAGAACUUCCUUCUUAAAAAGCAACAAAGUAUUUUUGCUGGAAACUGACUUGCUUUUCUUUAGCUCUCUAGGUGGUUCCCAUCAACCCUGGAACACUGGUGGUUUACAUUGUAGCUCUUUUCAUUCUUAGGUGAUUCAAUCAACAAGUUUCUCUCACUGAAGUUCAGGAAGACUUUUCUGUCCCUUUCAUCUUGGAAUGAAGGACCUUAGAACCGGAAGUGAAAAGACCAAGCCGCCCAGAGAGGAAGCAUCUGUCCAAAAUCUCACAGUUAAUUGGGGUCAGGGCUUGGCCUGGCAUCCAGGUGCGCUGACGCUCGUGCUGGAGAGUCUUCUGCUUCCACAUUCUAAGGGGGAGUUUUGGAUGGUGAGAGCUGUUCAAAUGUGGAGCGGGCUCUUGGAUUUUAGCCUUGGUGAAUAGUGAAACGUCCCUCACCGGCUGUAUGGAACAGAGGUUGGAUAACCUCGCGACCUCUUGGAGGGGAUUUGAAGUUUUCUGGAGUAACGCAGUCACUCCCUCAGUCAUCUACACUGGCCUGCUGAUCUUCAAAAUCUCCCAGGUGCUGGAGACUCAGCUGUGACAAGACAGAGAGGUCCCCUGGCUGUAAGGAACUUUCUUUCUAGUUGACGGCUGGAGUGGGCAGACAGAUGAGGAAACCAAGGCAUUCAUGGUUGGCGGGAUGUUCCUGAGGUCACAGAGCGCUCACCUGGUGGAUCUGGGAUUUGGAUCCAGGUCUCCUUUGGUUUCUGAGCUAGCUGGUUCUAAUCAUUUUCGAUCACAGGGCUUUUACGGCAGCUCUGACUACCAGCCUCCGGCGCCCUUGCAGACAAUCCUCCAGCCAGUGAAGAAUCUGAGCAGAUUUCUGCCUUUCUCACAAAGCCCCCUUCCCUCCCCCUCUCUCCUCCCCUCUUUUCCCAGACUGCCAUUCUUCCCUAGCAAUUAUCAAGUUUCCAGCCUCCUUUUGCAUCUCGGGAUGAUGCUCGCAUCUGCUUCUGUUGCUGGGUGGAGGAAGACGGAAAACCAUGUGGGGGAAAGUGGGGUCAGGGAG
This 1812-nucleotide long non-coding RNA is filed under the name Equus caballus (horse). RNAcentral's name for it is "lncRNA (ENSECAG00000027863.3)". The record is from RNAcentral. Lineage: Eukaryota; Metazoa; Chordata; Mammalia; Perissodactyla; Equidae.